CGCAAGCCGAGGGAGCCGGCUCCGGCCUCGGCCAGCCCAGAGAAGGGCUCCCAUGGUCCAGCGGCGGGCUGAAGGGCUCCUCAAGCACGGCCAGAAUGGGUGCCGAGGCCGAGGAGGCACCGAGAGCGAGUGAGGGCCACGAGGGCUGCCAGCAUGCUGUCACCUCUCAAUACCUCUCCUGGCUUCCGGGACCUUAAAGCUGUCCAUAACCAAGAUGUGGAAAAUUGAGGCUCAGAAAAAAUGAACUUGUUGAAAUCUAUCCAGGUGGAGAUAAAUAAAAUUCAAGAUACCUCAGGCUCUCAGCAAGUCACAAGAAAACAAGAAAACAUGAUGCUGUCUGAGCAAUUGGUACAGGAAGCCUGGACACAUUGCUGAGGAAAUCAGAACUUCUUUGCAAAAGAUGGUGACAAUCUGUGGCCAAGAUGCUGCCGGGAGAUGAUUACAGGCACAGGAGAGGAGUUUCAGGCAGUUCCACUAAGAAAGUUCCCAUCUCAAGAGGAUGCUGUUUGAUUUCUUGUUAUUCACCAUCCGUGUGAUCCAUGGGGGGAAGAAAAGGUAUUAAAGAAGAGAAGCAUAUUAAUGUUAUUACUCCUUUCUAACUUUACAGAGUGGCUACUCUUUUAAAUUCUUUUGAGACAAACACCUGAAAGAAAAUGUUGAUAUGUGAGAUAAGCAAUAAGCAGUGUUUGAAUACAUGCAUAUGUUAAAGGACACCAUUAAAAUUAAAAAUAACUCUAGAAAGGAAACAAAG
This 751-nucleotide long non-coding RNA is filed under the name Homo sapiens (human). RNAcentral describes it as "HSALNT0119877". The record is from RNAcentral. Lineage: Eukaryota; Metazoa; Chordata; Mammalia; Primates; Hominidae.